RNAcentral lists this unclassified non-coding RNA (19 nucleotides) under Mus musculus (house mouse). Its description in RNAcentral is "oocyte_clustered_small_RNA12356". The record is from RNAcentral. Lineage: Eukaryota; Metazoa; Chordata; Mammalia; Rodentia; Muridae.
ACAGUGCUACAGCCUAGGU